AUACGUAGGGGGCGAGCGUUGUCCGGAAUGACUGGGCGUAAAGGGCGUGUAGGCGGCCGAUUAAGUCUGGAGUGAAAGUCCCGCUUUCAAGGUGGGAAUUGCUUUGGAGACUGGUUGGCUUGAGUGCGGAAGAGGUAAGUGGAAUUCCCAGUGUAGCGGUGAAAUGCGUAGAGAUUGGGAGGAACACCAGUGGCGAAGGCGACUUACUGGGCCGUAACUGACGCUGAGGCGCGAAAGCGUGGGGAGCGAACAGGAUUAGAUACCCUGGUAGUCCACGCCGUAAACGAUGAAUGCUAGGUGUAGGGGGUAUCGACCCCUCCUGUGCCGGAGUAAACGCAAUAAGCAUUCCGCCUGGGGAGUACGGCCGCAAGGUUGAAACUCAAAUGAAUUGACGGGG
Molecule: ribosomal RNA, 397 nt
Filed under: uncultured bacterium
Lineage: Bacteria
Description: partial 16S ribosomal RNA
Rfam family: Bacterial small subunit ribosomal RNA
Source: RNAcentral